CAGCCGUAAACUAUGCGCGUUAGGUGUACUGGUGACCACGAGUCACCGGGUGCCGAAGGGAAACCGUGAAACGUGCCGCCUGGGAAGUACGGUCGCAAGGCUGAAACUUAAGGAUUGGCGGGGAGCACCACAACGGGUGGAGCCUGCGGUUUAAUUGGACUCAACGCCGGAAAUCUCACCGGAUAGGACAGACAUAUGAUAGUCGGGCUGAAGACUCUACUUGAUGAUCUGAGAGGUGGUGCAUGGCGUCAGUGACU
This 257-nucleotide ribosomal RNA is filed under the name uncultured archaeon. Its description in RNAcentral is "partial 16S ribosomal RNA". It matches the Rfam family "Archaeal small subunit ribosomal RNA", at positions 748 to 1008 of the family's 1478-position model. The record is from RNAcentral.